Molecule: long non-coding RNA, 265 nt
Filed under: Anser brachyrhynchus (Pink-footed goose)
Lineage: Eukaryota; Metazoa; Chordata; Aves; Anseriformes; Anatidae
Description: lncRNA (ENSABRG00000006498.1)
Source: RNAcentral
GUGCAUGCUCCUGGUGCAUGAUUUGCAUGCAAACCUUGCUUGGUGCAUGCUCCCAGUGCACACGGCGCUUGCAAACUGUGCUCUGUGCAUGCUCCUGGUGCACGAUUUGCAAGCAAAGGUGCCCCGUGCACGCUCCCAGUGCACACUGUGCAUGCAAACUGUGCUCUGUGCAUGCUCCUGGUGCACAUUCUGCAUGCAAACCUUGCUCUGUGCACGCUCUUUGUGCAUGUUCUGGGUGCAAAACUGUUCCGUGCAUGCCCUUGGU